GCACAAUGAGGGCCAAUGUGUCACCAACAAGACUUUUCACGGUUGAAGCAUCGGUAGAUAACCUUGCACCCAUUGCACCACUGCAACAUGAUUCGUUUAUUUCAGUUUCAUGAGUAGAAGGAAUUAACACAUAUUGACUUGAAUUAAAAUACAUUUUGACAUAACUUGAAUUUGCAGGAUCAUCAAACCAUUUGGUUUCUUUGUGCACAAUCUUUUCAAAUGUCAAUGAACGAAUUCGCUCAAUAAGUUUUCCACCAGCAAUCCUAAAGAAGUAUUCCUGCAGUGGCAAAACUGCUAGAGUAAUGAAACCCAAACAGACAUAUAGAAGCGACCAGAACCUGGACUCUUUCCUCUGCUGUUCUGGAGGUAUAUAAAACAUAUUAAUGGCUGAUGAAAACAAUAAGCCAAAUAUAGGGAACACGACACCGUGUACUAAUGCAGCAAUGGUUCCAAGCAGUAUGACAGGAACCUCAAGCUUGGUCAACUUGGCCAAUCGCAAUAUAGAUACCCUUUUGGGUUUUUUCUUGUUAUCAAGUUGAACUUGUUCAAUAUCUUCUUCUAUUCUUGCAGAUAAGCCUCUAAGUGACUGAGAAUGUUGAAGACUCGCUGAUGAAGUUCGGCUCGCAAAAGAAGUUCUUUGGAUGGAGAAUCUAGCCAAGUGACUAU
Molecule: long non-coding RNA, 666 nt
Filed under: Trifolium pratense (red clover)
Lineage: Eukaryota; Viridiplantae; Streptophyta; Magnoliopsida; Fabales; Fabaceae
Description: long non-coding RNA (TPRA_LNC012267)
Source: RNAcentral